UACGUAGGGUGCGAGCGUUAAUCGGAAUUACUGGGCGUAAAGCGUGCGCAGGCGGUUUUGCAAGUCGGAUGUGAAAUCCCCGGGCUCAACCUGGGAAUGGCAUUCGGGACUGCAAGGCUGGAGUGCGGCAGAGGAGACUGGAAUUCCUGGUGUAGCAGUGAAAUGCGUAGAUAUCAGGAGGAAUACCGAUGGCGAAGGCAGGUCUCUGGGCUGACACUGACGCUCAUGCACGAAAGCGUGGGGAGCAAACAGG
RNAcentral lists this ribosomal RNA (253 nucleotides) under uncultured bacterium. RNAcentral describes it as "partial 16S ribosomal RNA". It matches the Rfam family "Bacterial small subunit ribosomal RNA", at positions 524 to 776 of the family's 1533-position model. The record is from RNAcentral.